CCUAUAUUAGCCUUUAUCAAUUAGACUGUGCUAUGCCGUUAUCGUGCGUUAAAGUCGAGUCCAAAGUGCUACUACAUGUGUAGAAUAGAGGCUUUUGGAGGUGCCGCGCGGACCGCCGUGCUGCGUCUCAUCACCCGCUCAAGACACGUGUGAGAACGGGAGCAAAAAAAACAAAAAACAAGCAAACAAAAAAAGAGGGAGGCCGAGCUCUUCCGCGCACACACGCGCUUCUCUUUGGACGCCUCAAAUAUCGCCCCGCCGUGAUGCAAUCUCCAUGGCGACGGCCGUUUCCUGGGUAACCCCGAGCACCGUUGCCAUGGCGCCCCUGUUUCCACAGAAACCUCCCAGAUGGCUCGGGAGCGACAUUGAAGAUGAGCAUCCGUCUUCAAGGACCGCCGUUGCUGACGUCGGCUGGGCGUGUGCGUGAACGCAGCCUCGCGGAGGGCGUCCGGCAGCGAGCAGAUUUCCUAAAUGCAGCCGCGCGACGAUCCAAAACUUCCCAUCAACUCCCGCCCUGAAUGAAGGAAGCGGAUGGAGAGACAGCCUUCAAGGAAUUCUGAAUGGACUGUUUAGCUAUCCUGGGUGCAACACCGAUGGCGCCCAGCAGGGGGAGCGCUUGACCCAUCGAUGGCACAAGUGGAAGCUGUCCAGGUCGCCCGGAAGUUUUGAUGCUCCCUCGUCGACUGUCGCUCGUGCAGGGACGUGAAGGCAGUAUUUCUGUGGACCAAACGGGAUAAACUUGAUUGACGAAGAAUUCCCCUCUGCCUUCUGACUGGCGUCCUCUUACUUGGUGCCUAUAGCAGCUCCCGCCUGCCAGUCGAUCAACUUUCGAAAACAAAAACAAAAAAAAAGUUCGGAAAAGGCAAGAAUUCAAAUGAAAACAAAUAAAUUGGUUGAUACUGUAUAUAAAGUACAGUUUACCAAACAACAUCCUUCAUUUACAGUUGUGGAGCUAGUGUUUUCUAACCGCUCUCUGUUUUUUUGUUUGGGAGCAUCGCAGCAUUAAAAAUUGCAAGCAGUGAGAAAAUUCUUCGAGAAGCCCGCGUCAGACAUUUCUCCAUGUUGCUUAAAGUUUUAAAAGUCGGAGAAAACGGCAGCUCCGGGAAACAGCCGGCAGUUUUAAAACACAAAGCACACAAUUCUCUGCAUUUGUAAGGAUUUCUACGUGUGUACUAUAUCAGCGUUUCUGCUAACUGAUCCUCAGAACACAGAUGUCGUUUUCAUAUUGAAAGUGGCAAAAAAGAGGCCAAACAUUGAGUGUUAAGAAACUGUGACACAAAUCAAAGACUGUUAACCACAUGCCUUUGUUAGCUCGAUCAGUGUGCUCUGUAUUGCUAACAUUUAAAAUAUGUUAAAUGUAAUUGCCGCUGCUAUUCCCCUGACCUACACAU
Molecule: long non-coding RNA, 1391 nt
Organism: Phycodurus eques (leafy seadragon)
Lineage: Eukaryota; Metazoa; Chordata; Actinopteri; Syngnathiformes; Syngnathidae
Exons: 3
Source: RefSeq, a predicted model, not a curated record